Molecule: ribosomal RNA, 73 nt
Filed under: uncultured bacterium
Lineage: Bacteria
Description: partial 16S ribosomal RNA
Source: RNAcentral
UUACAUCCGAAGACCUUCUUCACACACGCGGCAUGGCUGGAUCAGGCUUUCGCCCAUUGUCCAAUAUUCCCCA